GAGGAAUCGUUCGAAAAGAGGUAAACUUGAUAAUAAGUUAUGUCACGACAAAAUGGAACAAUCGCGACAUCUUGUGAUCAUUUUUCUUAGCUUAUCGCAAGUCGACGAGUGUGAAUCUCGUCGAUUCCUCGACGAUUCUCCCGAGGAGAAGGAGGAUCGUUGAGAGAUCGUUGAAGAUAGAGCUCGGUCAGAAUUUCUACGUUCAAUCGUUCACCACGGCCGCCGGGCCGGCGAAAAAUUAUUUAUUUAUAUAGUCUAUCGGUUGUAUUUAUUGAAGACGAUUUAUUUGCGCGUUGCAAGUUCGCUUGUGGGAGUACAGAAUGAAACAGGAACGACGAAGAAUAGAGGAAGCGAGGAAAUGGAGUAAGAUUCGACAAGGAUUUGUUUCGCAGGAAAAAUCAAAUUAACCCCCCCCCCCCCCCUCUCAAGAAAAAGAACAGACUGCAUUAAUGUAGAUAGCGACGAUAUUAUAGUUGAACGGAACGCCAUUCCAAUGUUUCACUGUUUUUUAUACCAAACGCGAGCGUAGCGGCAUUUUGUAUCAAGUGUCUUGAGGGGAAGAUGGAAUUCGUGCGGGACGUGUUCCAAUUCUCGCGUGUGUCGCGUUGUUUCGAUUU
Apis florea (little honeybee) is the source of this 617-nucleotide long non-coding RNA. NCBI's taxonomy places the organism in Eukaryota, Metazoa, Arthropoda, Insecta, Hymenoptera, Apidae. The record is from RefSeq and is a predicted model, not a curated record.